Molecule: long non-coding RNA, 1876 nt
Organism: Ceratitis capitata (Mediterranean fruit fly)
Lineage: Eukaryota; Metazoa; Arthropoda; Insecta; Diptera; Tephritidae
Exons: 3
Source: RefSeq, a predicted model, not a curated record
AGUCAAGCCAUGUCGUACGCCGAAUAUUUAUGUGGUGGCAUAGCUACCCGACUGGCAAGCUCUUCCAAUGGUUUACUUUUAAUACCGAACUCUUUGCUCACACCAGUGAAGCAAACCACCAAAUAUACAAACAAGCAUUUUGCGCCGUUUGUUUGCGGUGCAAUUGUACCAGGAGAGUGCUUACUAGAGAAUGCAAAAAAUAAGAAAAUACCUAUAUACAUACAUAAUACAUCAUAGUAAUAUUAAUUAAAAGACGAAGAGCUAUAGUAAAUGUUAUCUACCUAUGGUGUCAGUGUCUAUCAGUCAAAUUUAAAUGGAAAUAGGAAACCAAAGUUUAAGCUUAAUUUUAUAAAACUAAAACUAAAAGCGAUGUUUCCAAACUAUAAAUAUGCACAUAUACAUAUUAUAAUGUGAGUUCAUCCCCAAGCAAACGUAUCUGAUGACACGUAGACACUGUAAACUUUUAAGCUUUCACAAGAAUUCAGAUACUUAUACUUAUAUUCGUGUAUAUGCGUGUGUGUAACGCUUAAAAGUAUGCUUUAAAAGGAUUGUAUGUGUUGUGCCCUGUAGGACAGCUAUGGUUUAAAGCUAUCACAAACUCAUUUGGUUAAAAAAACGUAUUUCACUAAUUCGGAUAACAAAAUUGUUAUAUAUGAAAAUCUGCUUGUUCGCUUAAUAUGUAUAUUGUUUCACACCGAAAUAUUCUGGUCCUAUGCUAGAAGUUCAGCUAGCGAUUCCAUUACCUGUAGUUUCGGUAGAAGAUCUGUAUGUCUAUACACAGAUUUAUACAAGAAGGUUUUUUAGAAAUAAAUACACUUUAAAUAUAAUAAAGUUGAUAAUAAACUAAGAACCAUGUACACUUUCUACUACAUUAGUAGAGAAUAACUUUACUUCAACCCACUAAAUUACAGUGAAACCUUAAUCACGGGAAUGAAAAUCUAUACAACAACAACCUUCCCUCAGCAUACAGCCAACACCUUCAAUGUUUUCUGCAGAAUUUCUCGUUGGAAUAAAUAAACUAGCGGUAGCAAGCUACAGCGCCAAAGGGUGUUCACCUCAAUAUCUUGAUAUUAUAAUGUUAAAACAUAAUUACCUUAUUGUUUUCGGGAAGCAUACAUAGCUAGCCACUUUAACACUGAAUUUCUAACAAUUAUCCAUGCAUCUAUACAUGCAUGUGUGAGUGUAUCGUAUAAGCCGCAAUUGUUUUGUACAUUUUGUUGUGACAUAUUUUUAUAAAUUUCCUUUUGUCACAGCUUCUUAAAGCAUCGGCAUCAAAUUAAAACCCCCGUAAAAAAAGUUAGUGUGUAUAUAAAUGUGUGUAUGUACGAGCAAGAAGCUUUAGUAUGGCAAGAGCUUUCAAGCUUGAGGUGAAGAACACAUUUCAGGGUAGUCGACGCCCACAUGUGACUAGAAAAGGUACCCAUUGAGAAAAUAUUAUAGGCGUAUUUGCAUUGAUUGGUAUGAAGAAACUUUAGCACCGAAUUUCAGUUCAAGCAGACUUUAAAAAGAUUAUCACAUCAACCAACUGGAAGCUUAACCAUCUGCAAGUAACCUUGAACUUUAAAAGCUCCGACAAAUGCCAUCUGAUGUGUUCCAACUAUGUAUUUGACUUGAACUAUGCAUUUGUAGACAGACCAAGUUGCUAGUUACUUGCAUUAAAUAAAAGAGAUAUCAGAAGAAGAUGAACGCUGGAGCUCAACCAAGCCUUGCGAAUUCGCGUCCUUCAGCCGAUUGAGACGUUAUAUCUUUCACGGUGCUACUACAUCAAACCUUACGAUAUUGGGACCUCAUAGUUGUGUAGAAACAAAAACGAUACGGCGGGAUGCGGUGCUCAAGAUCCUCCUUCAGCGAACCAACCAUUUUAUUUUAUUUUAAU